RNAcentral lists this ribosomal RNA (460 nucleotides) under uncultured bacterium. RNAcentral's name for it is "partial 16S ribosomal RNA". It matches the Rfam family "Bacterial small subunit ribosomal RNA", at positions 338 to 795 of the family's 1533-position model. The record is from RNAcentral.
CCUACGGGGGGCAGCAGUGAGGAAUAUUGGUCAAUGGGCGGAAGCCUGAACCAGCCAAGUCGCGUGAGGGAAUAAGGCCCUACGGGUCGUAAACCUCUUUUGCCGGGGAGCAAGGGCGGGGACGUGUCCCGGCCCGGAGAGUACCCGGAGAUAAAGCAUCGGCUAAGCCCGGGCCAGAGGCCGCGGUAAUACGGAGGAUGCGGGCGUUAUCGGGAUUUAUUGGGUUUAAAGGGUGCGUAGGCGGGCGUUUAGGUAAGCGGGAAAAAUUCGGGGUUAAACCCCGUCCGGCCGUUGAAACUGGGAGCCUAGAGUGGGCGAGAGGAAGGCGGAAUGCGUGGUGUAGCGGUGAAAUGCAUAGAUAUCACGCAGAACCCCGAUUGCGAAGGCAGCCUUCCGGCGCCCUACUGACGCUGAGGCACGAAAGUGUGGGGAUCAAACAGGAUUAGAUACCCGAGUAGUC